CAUACUGUGGUUUUACUACUGUGCUUUCAAAUUUUGCAAAGCAUAUUGUAUGCAAAACAGAGUAUGAAGAUUCAAAUCCUGAAAACCUGAAAACGUAUUCUGCUUAGACUUUAACGCAAACCAGAUGAUAAAUAGGGCUGUAUAACUGUUUCAAAGUUUUAAAGUUUAUCCUUUUCCUUCUACCUUUUAAGGAUAAAUGGUAUUAUUUUUUUUUACAGGUAGAGACUUGAGCUCCCUUUGUUUCAGCAAAGGAAGUCUGUAGCGAGCAGGGAAUUCUUCCCAACUUUCUGUUUCCCAGAUUACCAAUAUAACUAAUAGACUAUCCUUCCCAUCCUUCAAUUUUUUUUUGCUCCAUAUUAAUGGAAUUUAUGUUUUAUUUCAUUAAAGCAGUGUUUUGACUGGCCAAGGCUUUUACAGACUUCUGUAUCAGUAACUGAUUAAAAUCAAACAAAAGAUGCCCAGGGAAAGGAUUCUGUCCACUAAGUGUGUUUGUUCUGUUGUUCUUGGACUGGAAACUACCAUUUGCCAAAGAUUUUUUUUCUUUUUUUUCAGAGGACAAGGAGGGAAUGGUUAAUAGUAUUGGGAUGCCUUAAUCUGUUACUGAUUUCUCUUUCAUAGUCACCUUUGUUGUCUUUGUACAUCCCUGGAGUGAAGUGUUUCAGAAAGGUUCGUGCAUACAUUUAUUAAGCUGUCUCUCUACAAGAAUUAUGAUAAAUUUUGUUUUCUGAUCUUGUCAGGCACUUGUCUUGUGGCAAUCCAUAUCACAAUUAUUUGGAGUAGAAUUUGAUUUCUCGUAAUUUAUCAAUUUGCUUUCAUCGUAUAGGUUUAAAAUAUAGAGCGAAUAUACCUCAAAAUGUAGAUUAUUCCCAUAUGUGCUGUGAACGUGCACAAGCAUGUAUUCUCUUUUGGCUACCUUAU
Molecule: long non-coding RNA, 918 nt
Filed under: Struthio camelus australis
Lineage: Eukaryota; Metazoa; Chordata; Aves; Struthioniformes; Struthionidae
Description: lncRNA (ENSSCUG00000011134.1)
Source: RNAcentral